UACGUAGGGGCGAGCGUUGUCCGGAAUGACUGGGCGUAAAGGGCGCGUAGGCGGUUCUUUAAGUUAGGAGUGAAAGUCCAGCUUUUAAGGUUGGAAUUGCUUUUAAUACUGUAAGACUUGAGUGCAGGAGAGGAGAGUGGAAUUCCUAGUGUAGCGGUGAAAUGCGUAGAUAUUAGGAGGAACACCAGUUGCGAAGGCGGCUCUCUGGACUGUAACUGACGCUGAGGCACGAAAGCGUGGGGAGCAAACAGGAUUAGAUACCCCGGUAGUCCCUGAG
RNAcentral lists this ribosomal RNA (277 nucleotides) under uncultured prokaryote. Its description in RNAcentral is "partial 16S ribosomal RNA". It matches the Rfam family "Bacterial small subunit ribosomal RNA", at positions 524 to 801 of the family's 1533-position model. The record is from RNAcentral.